GACGAACGCUGGCGGCGUGCUUAACACAUGCAAGUCGAACGGUAAGGCCCUUCGGGGUACACGAGUGGCGAACGGGUGAGUAACACGUGGGUGAUCUACCCUGCACUUCGGGAUAAGCCUGGGAAACUGGGUCUAAUACCGGAUAGGACUCCGGACUGCAUGGUCUGGGGUGGAAAGCUUUUGCGGUGUGGGAUGGGCCCGCGGCCUAUCAGCUUGUUGGUGGGGUGACGGCCUACCAAGGCGACGACGGGUAGCCGGCCUGAGAGGGUGACCGGCCACACUGGGACUGAGAUACGGCCCAGACUCCUACGGGAGGCAGCAGUGGGGAAUAUUGCACAAUGGGCGCAAGCCUGAUGCAGCGACGCCGCGUGAGGGAUGACGGCCUUCGGGUUGUAAACCUCUUUCAGCAUCGACGAAGCGAAAGUGACGGUAGGUGCAGAAGAAGGACCGGCCAACUACGUGCCAGCCGCCGCGGUAA
RNAcentral lists this ribosomal RNA (478 nucleotides) under uncultured bacterium. RNAcentral describes it as "partial 16S ribosomal RNA". It matches the Rfam family "Bacterial small subunit ribosomal RNA", at positions 28 to 523 of the family's 1533-position model. The record is from RNAcentral.